UUAAUAUCGUAUUUCAGGUGGUGGCGGGGAAAUUGGAAACGUUUAUCAGCCAAUCUAGCUUGUAGCUCAUACCUUGUGAGUGGAUAAAACUUAUUUUUUAGAAAAAAGUCUUCUUUAAAUUUUAAAGUUAUUUAUUUUAUAAAGUUGACUUCAUAGCAUGAUUUUCAGAAUAAAAUGGAUUUUAUUAUCAAUUGCUUUUAAAGUUAAAUUCAGUUCAAUUAAAUUAUUUUGAAAGCAUGUUAUAUUCUUCUUACGUGUUUCAGUAUAGUUGAAGUUAUUCCUAAAAACCACCAGAAAGUACCCAGGUGAUUUUACCCCAGUUUGCGCUGAUGUGAAUGUGUUUCCACAGUAUAUGACUAGUUAUAGUGAUUUUACCCGCUCUGCACUAUCGUGAAUGUGUUUCCAUAGUAUAUGACCAGAUGAUCAGAGGUCUUUGGGACCCACUCUUGUACACACAUAGGCUUUGGGCCGUGUACUAGAGUGAUUAGCCUUUGGGGCAGCUCUGCAUACGUAUGACCAGAUUAUCAGAUUUGAAUGGCUUUGCCUUGUACAUCAAGAUUACUAUGUACAUGAAUAAGGCUAUUCAUUGGGUACUCUUUUUGGUGUGAUUUUUCAGUAUUUAUUCAGUUCUCAGAUUUCAGAUUAUGGAAGUCAGUUAAUUCAGUUUUCAGAAGAAAGCUUUUAGCUUAUACUAUUGAGCAGCAGCAAUAUUUCACAGAUUUUCAUGAAUAUCAAAUUCUUUAUAUUUGUUAUAUCUCACAGAUACUUAUCUAGUAUUUAGAAUAAAGAAUUUUAUAAUGUAAUCAUGUCUAGUUUUUGAAAGUAUUACUAGAUUCAGAAUUUCUUAAGGAUUUAAUAAAAUUGGAAUUUUUAGAAAAUAUGCAUAAAUGCAAAAAGGUUUACUUAUUUGGAAAUCAUCCACUCAUUGAGUUAUAAACUCAUAUAUUUUUAUCAUGCUUUUCUAUCAGGAGACCGUCGAUUUUGAGAUACUGGGAAAAGCCCGCUGAAGCGAAAGAGACCGUUUCAUAGUAUGUAAUGUAUAGUUGGGGAACUCAUGUCAAUUAAGUGCUUGUCUAAUAUUUGGUGUGUCAUGCACUUCGUAGAAAGGUUGGUAAUUGAUGUAAUGCUUGCAUGUUGACAUGAUGAUGUUGUAGAAGCACUCAGUCGAAUUUUGUUAUAUUUUGUUGUAGUUGUGGUGGUAUUAGAGGAAGUGGUGGUUUCCAAAACUUUUGGUUUAAAU
This 1240-nucleotide long non-coding RNA is filed under the name Olea europaea subsp. europaea. The record is from RNAcentral. Lineage: Eukaryota; Viridiplantae; Streptophyta; Magnoliopsida; Lamiales; Oleaceae.